Rana temporaria (common frog) is the source of this 2523-nucleotide long non-coding RNA. RefSeq lists it as uncharacterized. NCBI's taxonomy places the organism in Eukaryota, Metazoa, Chordata, Amphibia, Anura, Ranidae. The record is from RefSeq and is a predicted model, not a curated record. The transcript is spliced from 2 exons.
UUUGCUUUAAAGAAGGCUGGACACAUUUGCACCACACACUUACAUGACACACUGAUACACACUUAAACUAAGACACACUUAUUCGCACCCUCUUUGAAAGACAACACUGACAUACUGACAUAUUGACUAGGAGAACAGCUGAAGCCAGAAGUCAAACGUCAUUUCCUGUUUCUUCCUGCAUCACUUUGGAAAAUCUCAGAAGACAACAUGCCUGAUGCUGCUCACAUGCUUUCAUAAGCUUGCUACAAUACUAUCGAUCCAAUUCCAGAUAUUUUCAUCUACGCUAAACUGAACUUUAUACUAUUUUUCAUUGUGUUUGUGAUGCCACCUGUGUGACAAUAAACUCACACGUAAUUUUCAAAUCAACCUGACUAUGAAUGAUCUUCAUUCAGAUACGCCCUUGAAGCUAUAAGAAUAUUAGUUAUUAAUUUAACGUUCUUACAGUGGCGAGCCAAAGAAAGUACUGUCUUAUCUCUAUUUUUACGGAAAUCUCGACCCUUGAUGAGGGGGGGAGAGAUUGGCGCAGUCUUUGCGAAUAUUCAAGUCUCGAGAAAAAAGACGGUUCAGAACCUAUCAAGCAAGAGGCGUUUGUGUCGCGUCAGAUGUGGACAACAGUCCAGUAACAGACGGUUGAUGACGAGAAAUCCUUCUAAUAACGAUAUGGCAUCUAAAAUCAAACAAAUAUGGAGGAUAACAAGCUUCUAUAAAGAGCAAAGAGAAAUUCAAAGUUAAAGAAGAGAUCCUUUUUGGAAGAAUAUUUGACAAAAGAUUUAUAUUUCAUAUUUAUGAACUAUUUUAUCUUAUUCAUCAAGGUUUUUCUAACCUAAUGGAACUUGAAGAAAUUUUAAAGACAUUUCAUGAAGAAACAUUAAUCGGAAGGAACUUUAUCUAUCUACUAUAGAUAAACAAUUUAGGACUGAAACAUUUGUUCACAUAUACAUAUAUAUUUUUUGAUUAUCCAAUUAUUAUGAUAUUAAUGUUCACAUGAAGUUAGGAUUAUUAUUUUUAUUUAUUUUUAUUUAUUCACAUAUUGAAUGUUAGCACACUCAUUCUAGUUAAUAGAACAUUUUUUGUUCAUAACUUAAGAAAGAUAUCAUUAAUAGAACUAUGGAAAGUUAUGAAAGUUUUAGAGUAUAAAGUAUAUUUCCAAAGAGCUAAAAUAUUAUUUGAGCACAUAUAUGGAAAUAUAUUAUUGCAUUAUUACUUAUUUUAAUAAUAAUAAUUUUCAUUAUUAUUAUUAUUAAUAAUUAUUGAUAUUAGUCAUCAUUAUGUUAUACAUUUUUAAAAUCUAUACCAUUAUUUCUGGUAAGAUUUUGAUUAGAUAGAUCUAAGAAGAGUUAAAAGUAAAGAGUAAAGCAUUUAGGAAAAGGAAAAUUUCUAGUUGCUUCAGUUCUGAGGAAUAUCGUGUCCAAUCGUUUGAUACAAGGUGGAGAAAAUGAGAUAUGAAUGUAUGUAUGUGAGUAUUAAAUGAUUUAGUAUGAUUAAUCAUAAUUCAGGGGGGAUUGUUAGAAUAUUAUUCCAAAUUCAUAAUUCGGCAAUUCAUGGCAAGCUUGCAAAACAUAUUUUGAUUUAUGAUUAAUCAUAAUAAUUAGGUAUGAAUGAAUGACCUUGAUCAAUUGAUAUGACAUAAUUCUUCUAUCCAAAACUGAGCAUUACGGAUAGCCAAUUUGAGAAUGACAUAAGAUUUGAAUGUCAGGCAGUUGUUCUACUAUGUCCAAAGUUGACAUGAGUUCAGGAGGUCAGCAGGCUAACAGAUAAGUAUACACAUAGAGUUCAUGUGUCAGAGCUGACAUGUUUUUACAUGCUUUAAAGUUAAAAUCAUAGAUAAUCCAUAACUUAGCUAUUUAUUUGAUAUUGUUGUUUAAUUAUUUAGAGUUAGUUUAAGUGAAGUCUUAGUCAUACUAAUAUGUAUUAGUAUAUAGUUACUUAAUGAAGUUAUAGCUUUAUAGCUGAUAAUAUAUGUUCUAUGACAUUGCAUCAUCAAGCACACUACUCUAAGUAUAGAGUGUCACAUGUGUGCCUGUCAAUCAAACUCCAUACGACUCUGUGCUAAGAUCUUCAUAUUGCUGAACCUAGCAGAUAUUAAUAUUUGCCAUACAAGGGUCUAAGCCUGGGCCGUAUGAGGUCAUGACGUUCACUUGUAACAUAUAUUUAAGCUUUGCUUUAAAGAAGGCUGGACACAUUUGCACCACACACUUACAUGACACACUGAUACACACUUAAACUAAGACACACUUAUUCGCACCCUCUUUGAAAGACAACACUGACAUACUGACAUAUUGACUAGGAGAACAGCUGAAGCCAGAAGUCAAACGUCAUUUCCUGUUUCUUCCUGCAUCACUUUGGAAAAUCUCAGAAGACAACAUGCCUGAUGCUGCUCACAUGCUUUCAUAAGCUUGCUACAAUACUAUCGAUCCAAUUCCAGAUAUUUUCAUCUACGCUAAACUGAACUUUAUACUAUUUUUCAUUGUGUUUGUGAUGCCACCUGUGUGACAAUAAACUCACACGUAAUUUUCAAAUCAA